Molecule: long non-coding RNA, 364 nt
Organism: Saccostrea cuccullata (small rock oyster)
Lineage: Eukaryota; Metazoa; Mollusca; Bivalvia; Ostreida; Ostreidae
Exons: 2
Source: RefSeq, a predicted model, not a curated record
UAUUGCAGAGGAUAUAGAAUACCUUGCAAUGAUUUUGUAUUUGGCAUUCGUUUCACUUCUUUUCAUUCAGGUUGCAAAUUCUGCAUUUGGACGAGCUGUUUGUGGAACUCGGUCAUACAAUCCUACUUUUGAUAUUUGUUGUAACGGAGUUAUAAAUAGCAAAAGUGGUUCGCGCACAAGUUGCUAUGGAACAAAAGCAAUCAAUCCUACGUUUGAUAUUUGCUGCAAAGGAAUUAUAAAUAGUGAAGGGGGUUCAAGGACAAGUUGCUGUGGAACUAAAGCAAUCAAUCCUACAUUUGACAAUUGUUGCAACGGAGUUAUAAAUAGCAAAGGAGGCUCGCGCACAAGUUGCUGUGAAACUAAA